RNAcentral lists this ribosomal RNA (253 nucleotides) under uncultured bacterium. RNAcentral's name for it is "partial 16S ribosomal RNA". It matches the Rfam family "Bacterial small subunit ribosomal RNA", at positions 524 to 776 of the family's 1533-position model. The record is from RNAcentral.
UACGUAGGGUGCGAGCGUUGUCCGGAAUUAUUGGGCGUAAAGAGCUCGUAGGCGGUUUGUCGCGUCGACUGUGAAAACCCGAGGCUUAACCUCGGGCCUGCAGUCGAUACGGGCAGACUAGAGUUCGGUAGGGGAGACUGGAAUUCCUGGUGUAGCGGUGAAAUGCGCAGAUAUCAGGAGGAACACCGAUGGCGAAGGCAGAUCUCUGGGCCGUAACUGACGCUGAGGAGCGAAAGCAUGGGGAGCGAACAGG